GAUGAACGCUGGCGGCGUGCUUAACACAUGCAAGUCGAACGAUGAAGCCCAGCUUGCUGGGUGGAUUAGUGGCGAACGGGUGAGCAACACGUGAGUAACCUGCCCUUAACUCUGGGAUAAGCCUGGGAAACUGGGUCUAAUACCGGAUAGGAGCGUCCACCGCAUGGUGGGUGUUGGAAAGAUUUAUCGGUUUUGGAUGGACUCGCGGCCUAUCAGCUUGUUGGUGAGGUAAUGGCUCACCAAGGCGACGACGGGUAGCCGGCCUGAGAGGGUGACCGGCCACACUGGGACUGAGACACGGCCCAGACUCCUACGGGAGGCAGCAGUGGGGAAUAUUGCACAAUGGGCGGAAGCCUGAUGCAGCGACGCCGCGUGAGGGAUGACGGCCUUCGGGUUGUAAACCUCUUUCAGUAGGGAAGAAGCGAAAGUGACGGUACCUGCAGAAGAAGCACCGGCUAACUACGUG
This 466-nucleotide ribosomal RNA is filed under the name uncultured bacterium. RNAcentral describes it as "partial 16S ribosomal RNA". It matches the Rfam family "Bacterial small subunit ribosomal RNA", at positions 28 to 507 of the family's 1533-position model. The record is from RNAcentral.